Non-coding RNA from Salarias fasciatus (jewelled blenny), 505 nucleotides. The record is from the annotation of a RefSeq genome assembly. Lineage: Eukaryota; Metazoa; Chordata; Actinopteri; Blenniiformes; Blenniidae.
CCUCAGUAAACUGAGUAGAGCUUUCAGUCAGGCUCAAGCAAAUCAAUCCACCGGUCAAUUCUCAGAACUUCAACAUGAUUCAUUUCAUCCUUCUUUGCUGUCUGUCAGGUGUUUGCUGGAGUGUGAAAGUCGACCAGUCUCCUUCUGAUUUCAUCAUAAAACCUGACACCAAGGUUCAGAUGUUCUGCAGCCACGAGAAAAGAGACUACAGGGUGAUUCUCUGGUACCAGCGCACACCCGAAGACACAGCCAUGAAACUCAUCGGAUAUUUACACUUUGCAACUCCCACCAUGGAGAAGGGAUAUAAUGAGAGUUUCACUAUUGGUGGGGAUUUGAGUGGAAAUGAAAAAAAGAAUGUCUCUCUAAGUAUUCAAGUCAAAGGAGUGGAAGACACUGCGGUGUAUUACUGUGCAGCCAGAGAAGCACACUGACAGAAAGUCUCAUCUGAACUUUACAAAAACCUCUCAUGCUGUUCUGUCAUCAGUGGUUUUGAUCAGAGGAGCUG